Molecule: long non-coding RNA, 1066 nt
Organism: Drosophila sechellia
Lineage: Eukaryota; Metazoa; Arthropoda; Insecta; Diptera; Drosophilidae
Exons: 2
Source: RefSeq, a predicted model, not a curated record
GGAGACGGCAUCAUAAAAUUGUCAACUUUUUGUGUUUAUAAUCGCGAAAAUUGGCGAUUUUAUUUUGCUUUUGCGGUGCCUGUCUCUUGUUGUCGGUUGCGUUGAAGGAUUUACGUGCGUGGCGUCAGGAUGAUGGAAUCGCAUAUCUGUAUCUGCUUGUUUACCUCGCAAGUUUUACGUUUUUCUGUGAGUCCUUUAUUAAUUUUGCAUCAUAUUCUUAUUGAUUUUCCUUUCUUUACAGGUUAUCGGAAAAUAAUUGAACGUACCAUACUGCGGAAAAUUAUGCAUUUUAGAGACGGAUUUUGAGACUUUUUAAAAAAUGGUGUCAGCUCCGCGCUAGUGAUCCUUAAACGUGCAGUGGCAUCAAGAGGUGGAGACGGCGUCGUAAAGUUGUCAAUUUUUUGGGUUUAUAAUCGCGAUAGCUGCCGGUUUUGUUUUUCUAUUGUGGAGACCGCCUCUUCUUGUAGGUUGCAUUGGAUCACCAUUAGGCUGUGGUCAAGGAGGUUUUAGCGUCAAUUAAUGUAGGCGCUCGUCGUUCUGGGAUCGGCCCGUCUAUUGCAGCGCAGCAUGCAAGUAGGUUGUAUCGGUGAUAAGAGAUACUACCAGGGACUGUGUGGCAAGAAGAUUCAGGUAAGUGACGUUGUGCAUAAAUUGCUGCGGCGAGUCGCCUCUUAUUCAUCAUGUUUCUGCCACACUAAUCCUUUUCAUAUCGAUCUACCGAUUCGUCGAUUAUGUCCUGGUUGAUUUUCCCCGCAUCGUUUCGUCAGGUUCAGCUAGAGUGCGUUGUCUUAGGCUUGUUCAUCCGGAUGCGUUGAGGUGAGAGUAUUGUUUAUGUUUUAUUGCGAUUAUCUAAUUGAAUUUAUAUUCCAGGAAAGUUAGGCUGGGUCGAGGAAGGUGAUGACCUUGCAUGAGUUUGGGAGCAGACUGACGUGCGCUUUUCAUCGGAUAUAGAUGUCGUUAGAAUAGAUAUAAAGAGAUGUGGGUUUAAAUGGAUGUUUCCAUGUCAAGAUUGUAAUCUCUUCCUUGUAUGAUUAAGGCCAAUAAACUGUCAAUUUUCUUCUCUAAA